This 726-nucleotide ribosomal RNA is filed under the name Streptomyces malachitospinus. RNAcentral describes it as "bacterial SSU rRNA". It matches the Rfam family "Bacterial small subunit ribosomal RNA", at positions 47 to 790 of the family's 1533-position model. The record is from RNAcentral. Lineage: Bacteria; Bacillati; Actinomycetota; Actinomycetes; Kitasatosporales; Streptomycetaceae.
UCUUACACAUGCAGUCGAACGAUGAACCACUUCGGUGGGGAUUAGUGGCGAACGGGUGAGUAACACGUGGGCAAUCUGCCCUGCACUCUGGGACAAGCCCUGGAAACGGGGUCUAAUACCGGAUACUGAACCUUGCAGGCAUCUGUGAGGGUCGAAAGCUCCGGCGGUGCAGGAUGAGCCCGCGGCCUAUCAGCUAGUUGGUGAGGUAAUGGCUCACCAAGGCGACGACGGGUAGCCGGCCUGAGAGGGCGACCGGCCACACUGGGACUGAGACACGGCCCAGACUCCUACGGGAGGCAGCAGUGGGGAAUAUUGCACAAUGGGCGAAAGCCUGAUGCAGCGACGCCGCGUGAGGGAUGACGGCCUUCGGGUUGUAAACCUCUUUCAGCAGGGAAGAAGCGAAAGUGACGGUACCUGCAGAAGAAGCGCCGGCUAACUACGUGCCAGCAGCCGCGGUAAUACGUAGGGCGCAAGCGUUGUCCGGAAUUAUUGGGCGUAAAGAGCUCGUAGGCGGCUUGUCACGUCGGUUGUGAAAGCCCGGGGCUUAACCCCGGGUCUGCAGUCGAUACGGGCAGGCUAGAGUUCGGUAGGGGAGAUCGGAAUUCCUGGUGUAGCGGUGAAAUGCGCAGAUAUCAGGAGGAACACCGGUGGCGAAGGCGGAUCUCUGGGCCGAUACUGACGCUGAGGAGCGAAAGCGUGGGGAGCGAACAGGAUUAGAUACCCUGG